This 418-nucleotide ribosomal RNA is filed under the name uncultured prokaryote. RNAcentral describes it as "bacterial SSU rRNA". It matches the Rfam family "Archaeal small subunit ribosomal RNA", at positions 455 to 873 of the family's 1478-position model. The record is from RNAcentral.
GUGUCAGCAGCCGCGGUAACACCAGCCCCUCGAGUGGUGGGGACUAUUAUUUGGCCUAAAGCGUCCGUAGCUGGCUGUAUCCGUCCCCCGUUAAAUCCAGCGUCCUAAGCGUUGGACCGCGGGUGAUACCAUACAGCUAGAGGGUGGGACAGGUGGGCGGUAUUUCUGGGGUAGGGGCGAAAUCCUUUGAUCCCAGGAGGACCACCAGUGGCGAAGGCUGCUCACUAGAACACGCCUGACGGUCAGGGACGAAAGCUGGGGCAGCGAACCGGAUUAGAUACCCGGGUAGUCCCAGCUGUAAACGAUGCUAGCUAGGUGUUGGGUCGGCCACGUGCCGCCCCAGUGCCGCAGGGAAGCCGUUAAGCUAGCCGCCUGGGGAGUACGGCCGCAAGGCUGAAACUCAAAUGAAUUGACGGGG